UACAACAGACGAGUGUUGAGGAGAGGUAGAAUCCAUCCUGUCUGACCUGUAACAACAGACGAGUGGUGAGGAGAGGUAGAAUCCAUCCUGUCUGACCUGUAACAACAGACGAGUGGUGAGGAGAGGUAGAAUCCAUCCUGUCUGACCUGUACAACAGACGAGUGGUGAGGAGAGGUAGAAUCCAUCCUGUCUGACCUGUACAACAGACGAGUGGUGAGGAGAGGUAGAAUCCAUCCUGUCUGACCUGUAACAACAGACGAGUGGUGAGGAGAGGUAGAAUCCAUCCUGUCUGACCUGUACAACAGACGAGUGGUGAGGAGAGGUAGAAUUCAUCCUGUCUGACCUGUACAACAGACGAGUGGUGAGGAGAGGUAGAAUCCAUCCUGUCUGACCUGUACAACA
Long non-coding RNA from Oncorhynchus keta (chum salmon), 402 nucleotides. RefSeq lists it as uncharacterized. Lineage: Eukaryota; Metazoa; Chordata; Actinopteri; Salmoniformes; Salmonidae. The transcript has 3 exons. The record is from RefSeq and is a predicted model, not a curated record.